AGAAAAAGUUACAAGGGCGUAUGGCGGAUGCCUAGGCUUCUGAUAGCGAAGAAG
This 54-nucleotide ribosomal RNA is filed under the name Bacteroidales bacterium. RNAcentral's name for it is "partial 23S ribosomal RNA". Lineage: Bacteria; Pseudomonadati; Bacteroidota; Bacteroidia; Bacteroidales. The record is from RNAcentral.